GGGGAAUUGGUGGAAGUGGAAGACACAACAGAUUUAAGUCCUGUUGGCGUAUGCCGUAUCGGUUCAAGUCCGAUAUUCCCCACCA
This 85-nucleotide transfer RNA is filed under the name Caudoviricetes sp. RNAcentral describes it as "tRNA-Leu". It matches the Rfam family "tRNA". Rfam says of the family: Transfer RNA (tRNA) molecules are approximately 80 nucleotides in length. Their secondary structure includes four short double-helical elements and three loops (D, anti-codon, and T loops). Lineage: Duplodnaviria; Heunggongvirae; Uroviricota; Caudoviricetes. The record is from RNAcentral.